CGCGCCAUGGCGGCGGAGGGGACUGAUGUGGCCGGAGGCGGGGCUGUUGGUGGCCGCCUGGCCAAGGACCUCUUGCGGCAAUCUAACAGCCUAGACGCGGUCCCGAACCGGCGGCGCUUCUCGUCGCUGUCGCGUGACGCCGAGCACCGAGCCUACCAGUGGUGCCGAGAGUACUUGGGCGGGGCCUGGCGCCGACUGCACCCGGAGGAGCUGAGGGUUUACCCCGUGAGCGGAGGCCUCAGUAACCUGCUCUUCCGCUGCUCGCUCCCGGACCACCUGCCUAGCGUUGGCGAGGAGCCCCGGGAGGUCCUGCUACGGCUGUAUGGGGCCAUCCUGCAGGGCGUGGACUCUCUGGUCCUCGAAAGCGUGAUGUUUGCCAUCCUUGCAGAGCGGUCACUGGGGCCCCAGCUCUACGGAGUUUUUCCGGAGGGCCGGCUAGAACAGUACAUCCCAGUACGAGCCAAGCCCUGCCCGCUCCUCCCCAAGGCACCUGCCCCCAGCCCCUCCCUACCCCCAGUGUCCGCCUUCACAUCCCUCACCCCAGGUUCCUGGGUGCAGAGCCGGCCAUUGAAAACUCAAGAGCUUCGAGAGCCGAUGUUGUCAGCAGCUAUUGCUACGAAGAUGGCCCAGUUCCAUGGCAUGGAGAUGCCUUUCACCAAGGAGCCCCACUGGUUGUUUGGGACCAUGGAGCGGUACCUACAGCAGAUACAGGACCUGCCCCCAACUGGUCCUCCCCAGAUGAAUCUACUGGAGGUGUACAGCCUGAAGGAGGAGAUGGGCAACCUCAGGAAGUUACUGGACUCUACUCCAUCACCAGUGGUGUUCUGCCACAAUGACAUCCAGGAAGGGAACAUCUUGCUGCUCUCAGAGCCAGAAAGUGCUGACAGCCUCAUGCUGGUGGACUUUGAGUACAGCAGUUACAACUAUAGGGGCUUUGACAUUGGAAACCAUUUUUGUGAGUGGGUUUAUGAUUAUACACAUGAGGAAUGGCCUUUCUAUAAAGCCAGGCCCGAAGACUACCCCACACAAGGACAGCAGCUUCAUUUUAUUCGCCAUUACCUGGCAGAGGUAAAGAAAGGUGAGACUCUCCUCUCCCAAGAUGAGCAGAGAAGACUAGAAGAGGAUUUGCUAGCAGAGGUCAAUCGGUGAGGAAGGAGGGGCAAGGUGGAGGUAUGGCAGGGCACAGAGGAAAAGGGGAUUAAGGGGGCGGUAAUCAUGGCUGGGUGUGGUGGUUUAGGCCUAUAAUCCUAGGGCUCUGGGGGGCCAAGGCGGGUAGAUGCCUGAGUUCAGAGGUUCAAGACCAGCCUGAGCCAGAGUGAGACCCCAUCUCUACCAAAAAAAAGUCAGGCGUUGUGGCAGGCACCUGUAGUCCCAGCUACUUGGGAGGCUAAGGGAAAAAGAAUCGCUGAAGGAAGAAAAGAAAAAAAAAGAAAAAAACUUCAAACUAAGACAAUUGAAAGCCAGUUGAAAGCAAAAUUCAAAAAAAAAACGAAAAAGUAAUCAGACUUUGCCAGCUGCAGGUAAGGAUCCAGCACAGAGAGGGACAGAGGUGAAGAUGAGGUCUGGGGCUGGCAGAGAGAAACAGUCUGAGAGCAGGAGGGGUCAGGGUGAUGUAGGGGUUAAGACAGUGGGAAGCAGUUACAGCUUUGGGGAUUGACCAGCCUAAAUGAGGGGAGCCAAGCAGUGCCAAAUGUAUUUUUGAAUGCCUCUACUUUUCCUGCCCC
Nycticebus coucang (slow loris) is the source of this 1724-nucleotide RNA transcript. It is a transcript of the gene named choline kinase beta, with no coding region annotated. NCBI's taxonomy places the organism in Eukaryota, Metazoa, Chordata, Mammalia, Primates, Lorisidae. The record is from RefSeq and is a predicted model, not a curated record. The transcript has 10 exons.